This 468-nucleotide ribosomal RNA is filed under the name uncultured bacterium. RNAcentral's name for it is "partial 16S ribosomal RNA". It matches the Rfam family "Bacterial small subunit ribosomal RNA", at positions 28 to 507 of the family's 1533-position model. The record is from RNAcentral.
GACGAACGCUGGCGGCGUGCUUAACACAUGCAAGUCGAACGGAAAGGCCCUGCUUUUGUGGGGUGCUCGAGUGGCGAACGGGUGAGUAACACGUGAGUAACCUGCCCUUGACUUUGGGAUAACUUCAGGAAACUGGGGCUAAUACCGGAUAGGAGCUCCUGCUGCAUGGUGGGGGUUGGAAAGUUUCGGCGGUUGGGGAUGGACUCGCGGCUUAUCAGCUUGUUGGUGGGGUAGUGGCUUACCAAGGCUUUGACGGGUAGCCGGCCUGAGAGGGUGACCGGCCACAUUGGGACUGAGAUACGGCCCAGACUCCUACGGGAGGAAGAAGUGGGGAAUAUUGCACAAUGGGCGGAAGCCUGAUGCAGCAACGCCGCGUGCGGGAUGACGGCCUUCGGGUUGUAAACCGCGUUCGCCUGUGACGAAGCGUGAGUGACGGUAAUGGGUAAAGAAGCACCGGCUAACUACGUG